GAGAGAAAAUUUUUCUUGCCGAGUUUAUAAAUACACUCGGAAAAAUUAAAAAAUUUUAUUCAGUGUGUUUUAUAUGCGCAUUUGUAAUAUUAUUUUAAUUAAAAUGAUUUGGUAUUAAGUUUGAGUUGAUACUUUUUUUUGUGAAUACAAUACACGUGCAAUAGUGUUGAAUAAUGAUUAUGUGAUAGUCAAUAAUAAUGAAGAUUAUCAUUGUUUAUUUGUUUAUUUUCUGAUGUUUUUUACUUGCAAAAUUGAAUACAAUGGCUCAAGAGACUCACGAUAUCAAUUUAACACCUCAAGAAUUACAAAUUUUGUCGGAAUUGGACAGCCGACAAUUUGGAUUCCUCAAGUUGAAUUCUCCAGAGCAAGUGAAAAAAAAGGCUCUAGUGGUGAAAGCUAUAAAGUAUCUGGAGAAAAUGCUGAUACAAGCACAAGCAGAAAAACAAAGACGAAAAAUUGACGGUAUUAGGUCGACUAAUUGUGACUCGAAGAAUGAUGAAGAUGAUAAAGUAAUCAGCAUAGAUCCUAAAACUUAUUGCAAACUAGGUCAUUUCCACUUGUUACUUGAAAACUAUAGUAAAGCCAUGUCAGCAUAUCAAAAGUUUUAUGUUUUAAAAACGGAUUAUUGGAAAGAUGCUUCAUUUCUUUAUGGACAAGGGCUGGUUUAUUUUCACUUCAAUGCUUUUCAAUGGGCUGUGAAAGCAUUUCAGCAGGUGUUAUGGGUAGAUCCAAGUUUUCCUCGUGCAUGCGAGGUACACCUUCGCCUCGGUCUUAUGCUCAAGGUUUUGUCUGACUUUGAUGCUGCUCUCAAACACCUGACGCUUGCAUUUAUCGAUGCUAGCACACCAGCAUUAUUUUCCAAACUUGAAAUUAAAUUUCAUAUUGCUCAUUUAUAUGAAGUUCAAGGAAAAUAUCGUCUUGCUAAAGAGCAUUACGAGACACUCCUCAAAGAAAAAUCCUUACCAUCUCAUUUAAAAGCAGACAUCUGUCGGCAAUUAGGAUGGAUGUAUCAUGUAGUUGACUGUUCAAUUCUAAAUGUUACUCGACCACAAAAACAAGCAUUUGCAAUACAUUGUCUUCAAAAGUCAAUUGAAGCAGAACCAAAGAGUGGUCAAAGUCUUUAUUUAUUGGGUCGUUGUUUAGCAGCUUCUGGAAAAGUACAUGAUGCUUUUAUUGCUUAUAGGAACUCUGUUGAAAAAUCUGAAGGUAAUGCGGACACUUGGUGCAGUAUAGGUGUCCUUUAUCAACAGCAAAACCAACCUAUGGAUGCACUUCAAGCGUAUAUAUGUGCAGUUCAAUUAGAUAAAUCACAUUCUGCUGCAUGGACUAAUUUAGGGAUUUUAUACGAAAGUGUUAGUCAACCUAAAGACGCUCUUGUUUGUUAUGUAAACGCUUCUAGAGGUAAUAAUAAUACAUCAAACUCAUCGAGUUAUUCAAUGAACUUGGGUGGCGUAAAAUCUGGUGGAAACGUUUCGAUGAAUCCAUCUCUUCAACAACGAAUUCAUUUUCUUCAAAGCCAUCUAAGUCAAGCACCAAUGCCUUCUAUUGCUGCCAAGAGACGACAAUUACCGUCAAUUGAAGAAGCAUGGAAUUUACCAAUAAGUGCCGAAAUGUCUAGUAGACAACAACAACCUGCAGUACAAGCAGGUUAUAAGUACACAACUACACCACCGGGACCUCCACCUCCAUAUCCUCAAAAUCAAGCUGCGACUAAUAUUACCACAAAAAGAUUUAAAGCUGGAGAAGAACCGGUAUCUCCUGGUGCGCAGUCCCAAUCUCAACAACAACCACAACAAAAACAACAGUCGCAACAACAAACUCCAACACAGCAACAACAAUCACAACAGCCACCACAAGCGCAACAACAGCAACAAUCUCAACAAUCACCAGCAUUACAACCCCAACGUACACCACCCUUUUAUCUUACAUCUCAACAAUUACAAAUGUUACAACUUUUGCAACAAAAUAGCAAUAAUUUAACGUCACAGCAACAAGGUAUUUUACAACAAUUACAAUUACAAUAUCGAUUAAUGCAACAACAUCAACAACAAUUAAGAAUUCAGCAACAACAAGCUGCUCAACGUGGUUUAAGACCAGGACAGCCAGGUUAUCCACCUGGUUUAACAAAUUUAAGAGAAGGACAAUCAGCAACUCAACAAACAGGAGCUGUAAUAAAAAAUUAUGGAAUAGAUCAACAACAACCACAAGGUGGUACUGUGGCAUUACAAACUGGAUUUUCUGAUACAAAUAUUACUUAUAAUACUGUUGCUACUGGUAAUACUCAACAAAGUCCUGGUAUGCCAUACAAAUCAGCUGCCGAUUCAAGUUAUGCUCAACAAAAUGUUAGUCAAUACAAUCAUUAUCAAUCAAAUCAAUAUACAAUGCAAGGAUAUACUCAAAUGAAUCCUACAACAGGAAAUUAUCCUGAAAACACUGUUAGUAAUAAUAAAGAUAUUGGUGUUACAGAUCAAGAACUUCAAGCUUUAUUAUCUCAAAAAGAUAUAGCUACUUCAUUGGCAGAAGAUUUAUUAAAACAUUUUGGUUCUGAAGAUUUGGAAGUAAAAGAUGAAACACCAUCAGCGAUAAAUAAUGGAACAUUAAGUUCAGGACCAUUUUCACCAUCGAAUAUUGAAAAUAACGAAAGAAUAAAAGAAGUUAAGGUUGAACGAGUUGAUAUGUCAGAGUAUGAUAAUAUUUAUAAAUCAGAAAAAGUUCAUUCAGACACGUUAAAAAUAAAUACGAAAAAUAUUAUCAAGUGUGAAACAACAUCUUCAAAUAUUUAUCAAACUGAUUGUCAUCGUAGUGAACCAGUAUUGAAAUUGGAAAGUUUACGUGAAUCAUCGACAGAGGUUGAAUUUUCAAUUGAUAUGGAUGCUAAAAGUGUUGUUGAAGCAUGUAAAGGUCAUGGCUUAAAAAGUGUACCAAAUUGCUCAAUAUUAUCAGAUCGAUCACCACCACCUGUACCCCCAGAUCCACCAAAUCAAAAGUUAACCAAGGAACAACUUUUACCUCCAACACCAAGUGUAUACUUGGAGAAUAAAAAAGAUGCAUUUAGUCCUCAACUUCAAGAAUUUUGUCUCAAACAUCCAAUUGCUGUGAUUCGAGGUCUUGCAGCAGCAUUAAAACUUGAUCUUGGUUUGUUCUCUACAAAAACAUUAGUUGAAGCAAAUCCUGAUCAUGGGAUUGAGGUGAGAACGCAAAUGCAACAAACAAGUGAUGAAAAUUGGGAUCCAGUGUUGUCGAGGAAGGUUUGGGGAUGUAUAAGUCAUCGAAGUCAUACUACUAUAGCUAAAUAUGCUCAAUAUCAAGCAUCUAGUUUUCAAGAUAGUCUCAAAGAAGAACGUGAAAAGACACAGGGUAUUCAUACUGCUAAUUUAUCAGAUUCUGAUUCUAAAGAUAGUACGGGUGUUGUAAAAAGAAAAAAGAAUGCUUAUGGAUUACCAGGGCGUCCAGGUUCUAAAAUGUUACGAUUUGGUACAAAUGUCGAUCUUUCUGAUGAAAGAAAAUGGAAAUCUCAACUCAAAGAACUUAUGAAAUUACCUGCCUUUGCUAGAGUUGUGUCUGCUGGUAACAUGCUAAGUCAUGUUGGGCAUGUUAUUCUUGGUAUGAAUACAGUUCAAUUAUACAUGAAAGUGCCUGGAAGUAGAACUCCUGGUCAUCAGGAAAAUAAUAACUUUUGUUCUAUAAAUAUUAAUAUUGGUCCUGGUGAUUGUGAAUGGUUCGCAGUACCCGAUGCUUAUUGGGGAGUAAUUUGUAGUUUAUGUGAACGUAAUAAUAUUAAUUAUUUACAUGGAAGUUGGUGGCCAUCACUUGAAGAUUUGUAUGAGGAAAAUAUUCCUGUAUACAGGUUUCUUCAACGACCUGGUGAUCUUGUAUGGGUUAAUGCUGGUUGUGUUCAUUGGGUACAAGCUGUUGGUUGGUGUAACAAUAUUGCUUGGAAUGUUGGACCGUUAACUGCACGUCAAUAUCAACUGGCUAUUGAAAGAUAUGAAUGGAAUAAAUUACAAUCAUUCAAAUCUAUUGUUCCUAUGGUUCAUCUAUCAUGGAAUUUAGCUAGGAAUAUUAAAGUUUCGGAUCCACGUUUAUUUGAGCUUAUUAAAAAUUGUUUACUCCGAACAAUGCGACACUGUUGUUUAAUAUUAGAAUUUGUUAAAAAUAAAGGCGUAGAAGUGAGAUUUCAUGGCAGAGGAAAAAAUGAAGCUUCUCAUUAUUGUGGACAAUGUGAGAUUGAAGUAUUUAAUAUUCUCUUUAUAAGAGAACAAGAAAAACGUCAUGUAGUCCAUUGUAUGGAUUGCGCUCGGAAACAAUCACCAUCACUCGAAGGCUUUGUAUGUCUGGAAGAAUAUCGUAUGCGGGAUCUUAUGGACGUUUAUGAUGGUUUUACACUUCAUACACCUGCAAUUACAACUGCAAUUUUAUCACAAUCCAAUUUAACAUCCUGAGAAUCCUAUAUGCAUCAUAAAUAUUUAAAUUUUUUGAUGACUUUAUCAUCAGUUAAUCAAGUCAACACAUGAAAGAAUUUUUAAUAAUAAUAAAAAAAAAAGUGACAAAAAAAGACAACAAGCCUCGUCCAUGUACCUGAGUUACUUUGAAAUAAAAACAGAAAAAAGGAAAAAAAUAAAGAAAAAAAAAUAUUUAUAGA
Molecule: unclassified non-coding RNA, 4642 nt
Filed under: Chelonus insularis
Lineage: Eukaryota; Metazoa; Arthropoda; Insecta; Hymenoptera; Braconidae
Description: histone demethylase UTY, transcript variant X3
Source: RNAcentral